This 253-nucleotide ribosomal RNA is filed under the name uncultured bacterium. RNAcentral describes it as "partial 16S ribosomal RNA". It matches the Rfam family "Bacterial small subunit ribosomal RNA", at positions 524 to 776 of the family's 1533-position model. The record is from RNAcentral.
UACGGAGGGUGCAAGCGUUAAUCGGAAUUACUGGGCGUAAAGCGUGCGUAGUCGGUUAUUUAAGUCGGGCGUGAAAGCCCCGGGCUCAACCUGGGAAUUGCGUUCGAUACUGGAUAGCUAGAGUUCGGCAGAGGGAAGCGGAAUUUCGGGUGUAGCGGUGAAAUGCGUAGAUAUCCGAAGGAACACCAGUGGCGAAGGCGACUUACUGGACGACUGUUGACGCUGAGGUGCGAAAGCGUGGGGAGCAAACAGG